RNAcentral lists this ribosomal RNA (478 nucleotides) under uncultured bacterium. Its description in RNAcentral is "partial 16S ribosomal RNA". It matches the Rfam family "Bacterial small subunit ribosomal RNA", at positions 28 to 523 of the family's 1533-position model. The record is from RNAcentral.
GACGAACGCUGGCGGCGUGCUUAACACAUGCAAGUCGAACGGUAAGGCCCUUCGGGGUACACGAGUGGCGAACGGGUGAGUAACACGUGGGUGAUCUGUCCUGCACUUCGGGAUAAGCCUGGGAAACUGGGUCUAAUACCGGAUAGGACCACUGCCUGCAUGGGUGGGGGUGGAAAGCUUUUGCGGUGUGGGAUGGGCCCGCGGCCAAUCAGCUUGUUGGUGGGGUGAUGGCCUACCAAGGCGACGACGGGUAGCCGGCCUGAGAGGGUGACCGGCCACACUGGGACUGAGAUACGGCCCAGACUCCUAUGGGAGGCAGCAGUGGGGAAUAUUGCACAAUGGGCGCAAGCCUGAUGCAGCGACGCCGCGUGAGGGAUGACGGCCUUCGGGUUGUAAACCUAUUUCAGCACCGACGAAGCGCAAGUGACGGUAGGUGCAGAAGAAGGACCGGCCAACUACGUGCCAGCCGCCGCGGUAA